GGGUUGUGAGGUUAAGCGACUAAGCGUACACGGUGGAUGCCCUGGCAGUCAGAGGCGAUGAAGGACGUGCUAAUCUGCGAUAAGCGUCGGUAAGGUGAUAUGAACCGUUAUAACCGGCGAUUUCCGAAUGGGGAAACCCAGUGUGUUUCGACACACUAUCAUUAACUGAAUCCAUAGGUUAAUGAGGCGAACCGGGGGAACUGAAACAUCUAAGUACCCCGAGGAAAAGAAAUCAACCGAGAUUCCCCCAGUAGCGGCGAGCGAACGGGGAGCAGCCCAGAGCCUGAAUCAGUGUGUGUGUUAGUGGAAGCGUCUGGAAAGGCGCGCGAUACAGGGUGACAGCCCCGUACACAAAAAUGCACAUACUGUGAGCUCGAUGAGUAGGGCGGGACACGUGGUAUCCUGUCUGAAUAUGGGGGGACCAUCCUCCAAGGCUAAAUACUCCUGACUGACCGAUAGUGAACCAGUACCGUGAGGGAAAGGCGAAAAGAACCCCGGCGAGGGGAGUGAAAAAGAACCUGAAACCGUGUACGUACAAGCAGUGGGAGCACGCUUAGGCGUGUGACUGCGUACCUUUUGUAUAAUGGGUCAGCGACUUAUAUUCUGUAGCAAGGUUAACCGAAUAGGGGAGCCGAAGGGAAACCGAGUCUUAACUGGGCGUUAAGUUGCAGGGUAUAGACCCGAAACCCGGUGAUCUAGCCAUGGGCAGGUUGAAGGUUGGGUAACACUAACUGGAGGACCGAACCGACUAAUGUUGAAAAAUUAGCGGAUGACUUGUGGCUGGGGGUGAAAGGCCAAUCAAACCGGGAGAUAGCUGGUUCUCCCCGAAAGCUAUUUAGGUAGCGCCUCGUGAAUUCAUCUCCGGGGGUAGAGCACUGUUUCGGCAAGGGGGUCAUCCCGACUUACCAACCCGAUGCAAACUGCGAAUACCGGAGAAUGUUAUCACGGGAGACACACGGCGGGUGCUAACGUCCGUCGUGAAGAGGGAAACAACCCAGACCGCCAGCUAAGGUCCCAAAGUCAUGGUUAAGUGGGAAACGAUGUGGGAAGGCCCAGACAGCCAGGAUGUUGGCUUAGAAGCAGCCAUCAUUUAAAGAAAGCGUAAUAGCUCACUGGUCGAGUCGGCCUGCGCGGAAGAUGUAACGGGGCUAAACCAUGCACCGAAGCUGCGGCAGCGACACUAUGUGUUGUUGGGUAGGGGAGCGUUCUGUAAGCCUGUGAAGGUGUACUGUGAGGUAUGCUGGAGGUAUCAGAAGUGCGAAUGCUGACAUAAGUAACGAUAAAGCGGGUGAAAAGCCCGCUCGCCGGAAGACCAAGGGUUCCUGUCCAACGUUAAUCGGGGCAGGGUGAGUCGACCCCUAAGGCGAGGCCGAAAGGCGUAGUCGAUGGGAAACAGGUUAAUAUUCCUGUACUUGGUGUUACUGCGAAGGGGGGACGGAGAAGGCUAUGUUGGCCGGGCGACGGUUGUCCCGGUUUAAGCGUGUAGGCUGGUUUUCCAGGCAAAUCCGGAAAAUCAAGGCUGAGGCGUGAUGACGAGGCACUACGGUGCUGAAGCAACAAAUGCCCUGCUUCCAGGAAAAGCCUCUAAGCAUCAGGUAACAUCAAAUCGUACCCCAAACCGACACAGGUGGUCAGGUAGAGAAUACCAAGGCGCUUGAGAGAACUCGGGUGAAGGAACUAGGCAAAAUGGUGCCGUAACUUCGGGAGAAGGCACGCUGAUAUGUAGGUGAAGUCCCUCGCGGAUGGAGCUGAAAUCAGUCGAAGAUACCAGCUGGCUGCAACUGUUUAUUAAAAACACAGCACUGUGCAAACACGAAAGUGGACGUAUACGGUGUGACGCCUGCCCGGUGCCGGAAGGUUAAUUGAUGGGGUUAGCGCAAGCGAAGCUCUUGAUCGAAGCCCCGGUAAACGGCGGCCGUAACUAUAACGGUCCUAAGGUAGCGAAAUUCCUUGUCGGGUAAGUUCCGACCUGCACGAAUGGCGUAAUGAUGGCCAGGCUGUCUCCACCCGAGACUCAGUGAAAUUGAACUCGCUGUGAAGAUGCAGUGUACCCGCGGCAAGACGGAAAGACCCCGUGAACCUUUACUAUAGCUUGACACUGAACAUUGAGCCUUGAUGUGUAGGAUAGGUGGGAGGCUUUGAAGUGUGGACGCCAGUCUGCAUGGAGCCGACCUUGAAAUACCACCCUUUAAUGUUUGAUGUUCUAACGUUGACCCGUGAUCCGGGUUGCGGACAGUGUCUGGUGGGUAGUUUGACUGGGGCGGUCUCCUCCUAAAGAGUAACGGAG
This 2287-nucleotide ribosomal RNA is filed under the name Escherichia coli. RNAcentral describes it as "partial 23S ribosomal RNA". It matches the Rfam family "Bacterial large subunit ribosomal RNA", at positions 1 to 2305 of the family's 2925-position model. The record is from RNAcentral. Lineage: Bacteria; Pseudomonadati; Pseudomonadota; Gammaproteobacteria; Enterobacterales; Enterobacteriaceae.